Paramuricea clavata is the source of this 233-nucleotide non-coding RNA. The record is from the annotation of a GenBank genome assembly. Lineage: Eukaryota; Metazoa; Cnidaria; Anthozoa; Malacalcyonacea; Plexauridae.
CUCCCUCAAGCCAUGCUAUUACUUAUAAUAAACAUGAUACGCGAUAAUCAAAUUUAUAUGACCUCACUCGAUUGCACAAGAGUAAAAACUUCGGAGGCCUUUCGCGAGGUUCCUGACGCUAAGGAGAAGGUUCCUGACGCUGAGGACAAGGUUCCUCGCGGUGAGGACAAGGUUCCUGGCGGUGAGGACAAGGUUCCUGGCGGUGAGGACAAGGUUCCUGGCGGUGAGGACAA